Dromaius novaehollandiae (emu) is the source of this 585-nucleotide long non-coding RNA. RefSeq lists it as uncharacterized. The record is from RefSeq and is a predicted model, not a curated record. NCBI's taxonomy places the organism in Eukaryota, Metazoa, Chordata, Aves, Casuariiformes, Dromaiidae. The transcript has 3 exons.
UGCCAAGCCUGUUUGCCGACAGAAACUAAGCGACGCCGUGGUGUAGAGUGCUGUCACCAUCAUGGACUCGCCGCUACAGCGUCUGGGUUUCUCUGCAAGGCCCCAGCUCUGCGGAGACCUUCGUAUUUGCUCGAUUUUACUACCAUGAACACCUAGACUGGGAAAAUUACGUGUGCGCCGAGUUUGGUUUGGGAUCAGCGGCAAAGAUGAUCAGAGAAUCCAGAUCUCUCCAGCGCAGUCAGGUGCUUUAAUUGUUAAACAUUGUCUUUUCCCAGACUGGGACAGGACCUACAUUUCUUGCCCUUCGACCGCCUCCAGACCCCCCGCGCGGGAUCGCGGCUCCGUCGCGCUAAGCGCCAGGCUGGAAGCUGCCAGCCCUGUCGCUGCGAGUGCCCAGUUUUUCAGCCUGCCGGUAGGAAAUGGCAAAUAUUUAGUUUGCGAAGGGCCUUCUCAUAUAACGUCCAAGAAAAUGAAGGUCCAAACUGGAAGCACAGACAAGCAAGUGUAUAUAGACGUAAGUGUGUCCUCUAUAACGUAUAGAGCCAUACGUUCCCAAUCUGUGUAUUUAUAAGCCCAGAAUUAGCU